AAAACAGACCACACUUGCAAGACCACGGCAGCACUUGUCAGGAAAGUCACUUGUUUAACAGCCAACGACACGUUCCAGUACCCCACUUGUGGCAAACGACACGUUCCAGGUACCACACUUGUGGCAAACGACAUCCAAGUCAGGGAUCCAACAAACGACUACAGUAUGUAUCAGAAGACGACGCUAGCUACACCACCAACCAGCGAAUCAUGCUGGUCAGGACCGGUUUCAGAGCAGGCGCUGCAGC
This 247-nucleotide long non-coding RNA is filed under the name Triticum aestivum (bread wheat). RNAcentral describes it as "long non-coding RNA (TAES_LNC013611)". The record is from RNAcentral. Lineage: Eukaryota; Viridiplantae; Streptophyta; Magnoliopsida; Poales; Poaceae.